RNAcentral lists this ribosomal RNA (421 nucleotides) under Brevundimonas sp. CAS4119i. RNAcentral describes it as "bacterial SSU rRNA". It matches the Rfam family "Bacterial small subunit ribosomal RNA", at positions 12 to 478 of the family's 1533-position model. Lineage: Bacteria; Pseudomonadati; Pseudomonadota; Alphaproteobacteria; Caulobacterales; Caulobacteraceae. The record is from RNAcentral.
UUUGAAUCAUGGCUCAGAGCGAACGCUGGCGGCAGGCCUAACACAUGCAAGUCGAACGAACUCUUCGGAGUUAGUGGCGGACGGGUGAGUAACACGUGGGAACGUGCCUUUAGGUUCGGAAUAACUCAGGGAAACUUGUGCUAAUACCGAAUGUGCCCUUCGGGGGAAAGAUUUAUCGCCUUUAGAGCGGCCCGCGUCUGAUUAGCUAGUUGGUGAGGUAAAGGCUCACCAAGGCGACGAUCAGUAGCUGGUCUGAGAGGAUGAUCAGCCACAUUGGGACUGAGACACGGCCCAAACUCCUACGGGAGGCAGCAGUGGGGAAUCUUGCGCAAUGGGCGAAAGCCUGACGCAGCCAUGCCGCGUGAAUGAUGAAGGUCUUAGGAUUGUAAAAUUCUUUCAGUAGGGACGAUAAUGACGGUAC